RNAcentral lists this ribosomal RNA (253 nucleotides) under uncultured bacterium. Its description in RNAcentral is "partial 16S ribosomal RNA". It matches the Rfam family "Bacterial small subunit ribosomal RNA", at positions 524 to 776 of the family's 1533-position model. The record is from RNAcentral.
GACGAACCGUCCAAACGUUAUUCGGAAUCACUGGGCUUAAAGGGUGCGUAGGCUGUCCGGUAAGUUGGGUGUGAAAGCCCUCGGCUCAACCGAAGAAUUGCGGCCAAAACUGCCGGGCUCGAGGGAGAUAGAGGUGAGCGGAACUAAGGGUGGAGCGGUGAAAUGCAUUGAUAUCCUUAGGAACACCAGUAGCGAAAGCGGCUCACUGGGUCUCUUCUGACGCUGAGGCACGAAAGCUAGGGGAGCGAACGGG